This 792-nucleotide ribosomal RNA is filed under the name Staphylococcus aureus. Its description in RNAcentral is "partial 23S ribosomal RNA". It matches the Rfam family "Bacterial large subunit ribosomal RNA", at positions 513 to 1312 of the family's 2925-position model. Lineage: Bacteria; Bacillati; Bacillota; Bacilli; Caryophanales; Staphylococcaceae. The record is from RNAcentral.
GGUGAAAAGCACCCCGGAAGGGGAGUGAAAUAGAACCUGAAACCGUGUGCUUACAAGUAGUCAGAGCCCGUUAAUGGGUGAUGGCGUGCCUUUUGUAGAAUGAACCGGCGAGUUACGAUUUGAUGCAAGGUUAAGCAGUAAAUGUGGAGCCGUAGCGAAAGCGAGUCUGAAUAGGGCGUUUAGUAUUUGGUCGUAGACCCGAAACCAGGUGAUCUACCCUUGGUCAGGUUGAAGUUCAGGUAACACUGAAUGGAGGACCGAACCGACUUACGUUGAAAAGUGAGCGGAUGAACUGAGGGUAGCGGAGAAAUUCCAAUCGAACCUGGAGAUAGCUGGUUCUCUCCGAAAUAGCUUUAGGGCUAGCCUCAAGUGAUGAUUAUUGGAGGUAGAGCACUGUUUGGACGAGGGGCCCCUCUCGGGUUACCGAAUUCAGACAAACUCCGAAUGCCAAUUAAUUUAACUUGGGAGUCAGAACAUGGGUGAUAAGGUCCGUGUUCGAAAGGGAAACAGCCCAGACCACCAGCUAAGGUCCCAAAAUAUAUGUUAAGUGGAAAAGGAUGUGGCGUUGCCCAGACAACUAGGAUGUUGGCUUAGAAGCAGCCAUCAUUUAAAGAGUGCGUAAUAGCUCACUAGUCGAGUGACACUGCGCCGAAAAUGUACCGGGGCUAAACAUAUUACCGAAGCUGUGGAUUGUCCUUUGGACAAUGGUAGGAGAGCGUUCUAAGGGCGUUGAAGCAUGAUCGUAAGGACAUGUGGAGCGCUUAGAAGUGAGAAUGCCGGUGUGAGUAGCGA